AUUGAACGCUGGCGGAAUGCUUUACACAUGCAAGUCGAACGGUAGAGGGGGCAACCCCUCGAGAGUGGCGAACGGGUGAGUAAUAUAUCGGAACGUGCCCAGUCGUGGGGGAUAACGUAGCGAAAGUUACGCUAAUACCGCAUACGAUCUAAGGAUGAAAGCGGGGGAUCGCAAGACCUCGCGCGAUUGGAGCGGCCGAUAUCAGAUUAGGUAGUUGGUGGGGUAAAGGCUCACCAAGCCAACGAUCUGUAGCUGGUCUGAGAGGACGACCAGCCAGACUGGAACGGGGACACGGUCCAGACUCCUACGGGAGGCAGCAGUGGGGAAUUUUGGACAAUGGACGCAAGUCUGAUCCAGCCAUUCCGCGUGCAGGAUGAAGGCCCUCGGGUUGUAAACUGCUUUUGUACGGAACGAAAAGGUCUCUCUUAAUACGGGGGACUCAUGACGGUACCGUAAGAAUAAGCACCGGCUAACUACGUGCCAGCAGCCGCCGUAA
Molecule: ribosomal RNA, 496 nt
Filed under: uncultured bacterium
Lineage: Bacteria
Description: partial 16S ribosomal RNA
Rfam family: Bacterial small subunit ribosomal RNA
Source: RNAcentral